UGAUUCUGAGCCUGAGAUCCUGAAAAUAUUUCAGUUGUUGUUAAGAGGCUGGAGUUAGGACCCAGGAAGGACACAGCAGUGGGGAUAUAAAUAGAGAAGGAGAACAGAACAAGGUUUGAGGAGAGAGACUUACAUCACUCACUCCCUCUCCACCCAGAGAGCAGGACGGAGGUGUGAACUUGAGCCAGACCAGAAGGAGCUCCAGAGUGGCCGCAGGACAAGUCCGAGGAGCAGGCGGGUGCUCCAGGGAAAAACCACACACAAAACCUUCUUCGGAGAAAAGGGAAGCAGCAAACCUGACUGAGACAAACGGAGGCUUUUGAAAUAAAAAGAAAACACCGCAGGACGAACAGCCUCCCGUCCCAGGCGCAGGUCGCAGUCACAGUGGUGACCUGGGAUUGCUUUCCCGGGACUGUGAGUCGGGUUUGGGUUUCUCCUCCCUGCAUUCCACAGCUGCUCUGGUCAUCGCAGCGUGUUUAUUGAUCACUGAAGAAUCUCAAGUUUUGAGACAAGGAAGAAACACCCAUUAGAUCUCCAAAACAGCUGCGUUUCACAAACUUUAAGGAGACAGAACUUUUUUUUUUCUCCCUGGAACCUGUGAAAAUGUCCCUUUUCCAAGGAAGUGAAGGUUAAGAGGUCCCGUUCUCACAGACCCUCAGGAAUUUCACUUGGCUCUGAGCUUUGACCUCCCAGAAAGCCAUGGCAAAGCUGCUGCGGCUGUGCUGCUGGUACUCCCGCCUGCUGCUAUUUUAUUACAACUUUCAGGUAAUGUCCCCAAGUGGCCAGGAUGGAGACGGGCUCGGUUUCUCCGGAGGCUUUCCCUGAGCGUCUCUCACACUGUGGUCUUUUGUGUGCAGGUGCGUGGCGUCUACUCCAGAUCGCAGGACCAUCCAGGAUUUCAGGUCUUGGCGUCUGCUUCCCAUUACUGGCCACUGGAGAAUGUGGAUGGGAUCCAUGAACUUCAGGAUACAACUGGAGAUAUUGUGGAAGGGAAGGUCAACAAAGGCAUUUACCUGAAAGAGGAAAAGGGAGUCACGCUUCUCUAUUAUGGCAGGUACAACAGCUCCUGCAUUAGCAAGCCAGAGCAGUGUGGCCCUGAAGGUGAGUAGCUGAUCCCUGCGGCGUCUUUGUCAUGCAUUUCAUUAUCAGGGAGCACCUGCUCCUC
Molecule: long non-coding RNA, 1165 nt
Filed under: Rhinopithecus bieti (black snub-nosed monkey)
Lineage: Eukaryota; Metazoa; Chordata; Mammalia; Primates; Cercopithecidae
Description: lncRNA (ENSRBIG00000046138.1)
Source: RNAcentral